Long non-coding RNA from Betta splendens (Siamese fighting fish), 4351 nucleotides. RefSeq lists it as uncharacterized. The transcript has 6 exons. The record is from RefSeq and is a predicted model, not a curated record. NCBI's taxonomy places the organism in Eukaryota, Metazoa, Chordata, Actinopteri, Anabantiformes, Osphronemidae.
AUGUUGAAUGGGAGACAGCUCAUGCCUGAUGCCUCCACCUGUGUUGACAGGGAGUGUAUUUAUUUCCACAUGUAGGACUCUGGACACUCUCUGUCAAACCAAACAGAGAGAGCCUGGGGUUGAAGAAACUUAUGUAUGUUAAAUCACAAUUUUAAUCUAGCUCUUUGUUUUGACUUGAUAUUACGUGAUAUUGAUAUAACUCUCGUUUUGCAAUUGAAGUCAAAUUGCUUCUACAGUACAGCGGUUUGACAGUACAGCGGUUUGACAGCGCAGCGAUGACGUCAGCAGGAAGCGCGAGCCAGUCAGAGCGAGAACGAGCAUCGCUCCGUGUCACCGGGUUGAGCGCGAGAAACUCCCAUCAAAUUCUUGGCAAAACUAUCUGAACAGCAAAACGAACUGAGUGACAUUCAGAAAAACGUCCAUACAAACAGUGUCGAACGUGACGUGAGGAGGAGCGUUCCACCUGUGUGACGUGAGAACAUCGGCAAAGUCCAGCGAAGAGGAUCUACAGAUUCCACAGACGACGAGCCAACAGCAGAUGUUUGGGGAACCUCGCAACAGCUGGAUGGAUGACAGCUUGCGAGGAUGGGUGCUGAGGAGUGGUGUUCUGCGAUCCUGACUGCUUGCUUCCGUAUCCACCGGGGCGGUUGCCAUGUCUGCAGUGGCGAGGGAUUCCCCUCAGCUGAUGGGCGAGGCAACAGACACACCCGGCUGCCCAUUGCUGCAGAGAGACGAGCUGGGUGAGGGGCAGCGCUCCCUCUGACUCGGCAGAAAUCCGAAGGGGUGGAGCUGGGCCCCUUCUGGCAGUACUGCCCCGGCCGGGUCCUUGAGAGCAGCACACAAUAUGGCCUAUGCUGACAGCUUAUUGACUCCCGAGGUAGGAUGCUGAUGCAAAAAAAAAAAAGUUUGCGUUCUCUACUAUUAAACGCAGCCCCUGACCCGGCAUCUUAGAGCAGACUUCUGCUGAACUCAACAAAAGAAAAACGAUUUUAAUAGAGCUGUGACACAAACACUACUAAUCACUGAAUAAAACGACAGAAAUAUGUGCUAAAUGUUACUCACAAUCCUUCUAUUAACACAGAGAAGGGGCCAAAAGCAGCCUCCUAAAGGAUAUUAUAGCCAAUCUAAGCACCAAAGGACAGUGGGCCUUGUCAUGCAUCAGUCCAUUGUUACUCAUCCUAAAUCCAAGCUGUACUCCUCGGUGAUCUCAUUGUUCAGGUAGUGUUAGUACAGUGAGACGCAGCCUUUGUGAAGCUGUGAUAAUACGCUGCCUAUGAAAUGGUGCACUACGGGUGGGCCGGUGCUGCAUCUUGGCAGAUGCUGCGGCACGCCUCUGUGUGGGAACCUGCUGGAGGAGGUCGAGGACGCAGGGAUGCGGCUGCUGCACGGCAUCGAUUCGAGCGGCCCGGCGCUCCACGCCGCGGCUCUGCGGGCGAGAGACGGGAGAACGGAGCGUUUUGCUGCAAUAUGACAUCCACGGAGCGUUCUGGGGGGGGGGGGAAGCCGUCCGUCCACCAACACCCACGUCUGAAAAGGUUCGAAAUGGGCUCAUAACGCUGAUGUGCUGAGUCAUUUUACCAUGAGUCACUGAACACACCCUCUGCCACAGACCGUUCUGUUUCCCUGUCCCUGGAGGCUCUGGGUUUAUGACAUCGAUCAAUCUCCUCCUCACAAUAGCUUUACAGAAUCUUUAUUGUUAUUGUGCCACACUCAUGCAUAGUGUAUGUCUGCAGUUCUUAUUUCUGUAAAUGAAAUGGCGAAUAACACAAAAUAAUCUGUGAAUGUAUUUUAUCUUCUUAGAGGAUGAUGAAAGUAUUUGAUCACUAACACUACGAAAAUAUGCAGUUGCUUAUUUAAACAUUUCAACAUCCAGAUUUAGAGAGAGACGCUGGAAAUAUAUACUGAAAAAUAAUAUUUAUUUUGUCACAUGUAAAUGAUCAUUAGUUACAUUUAUUUAUAUGAUGGCUUACAGAAAACAAGUAACAACAAUGUUUGCUGAUGCUAAGAUGCUGCAUAUUCACAAAGUACCAUCCGUUUGUGAAUGUGUCUGCUCUCUUGCAUUGAUCUGGGUUCAUCAUACAUCCUGUAGGUGUGGGUGGUGGCCCUACAAGCUGCUUCCUUUGUAGAAAAUGUCUUCUGUUAUAUACAUAAUGAACAAUCAGUAGAUUUGUCAUAAAAGUUGGGCAAAGGAAAGAUAAGGAACCGUCUGUUUAUAAUGUUUUUCAGCAAUGUGCUGCUUUUGAUCUCAAGUUUAUUCAUAAAGUGCUGAAUAGGCAAAGAUAAUCAUAAUGUGUAAGUAGAAAUUUUCAUUUUAGUUACUUUUUGGGUGGUGGGGUUUUUCUUCAGUAACUUAAAUCCUGUUAUUUACAUUAUGCCUACAAGUCCCAUGGUGGAGAUAAGUGUGUGUGCUGAAAUCACAACAGUGAGCAGGUGACGCCAGCAUCUUCGGAGUGGUCACAGUUGUGCACGUUCCAGGAUAUAUGGGAGCACUGGAUCAGGGAGGCCUCGGCACCGCUGCACUUCAGAUUGUCCAGCAGGAUCGUCCCCGCCCCAGGCCCGAAGGAAGCCUCCCCCCGGGCUGCCGUGGCCUCCCCGCAGCCCAGCUGGCGACACACCACCCGAGCGUCACGGAGGUCCCAGGCGUCGUCGCACACCGUGCCCCAUCCAGAAUUUAGAGGGUUGUGGGGUGGUUGUGGUGGGGAUGCCUGCUGUCACCUGGAAGUCACGUGUCACUGCAGUGUAAGCUGGUUGAAAGAAGACGAAACAAGAAAACCUCCGUUCAGCAUCCAUACUGUCUGUGCAUUUUACAUAGGCCCGCCUCAGGUUAGACAUGUCCAGGCUUACGCGCACAGAUGACUCCAGCAUCCUCGUGAUGGCCGCAGUUGUGCUGACCCCAGCCCAGGUUGAAGCACUGGGACAGAGCCUGCUCGGUGCCGCUGCAGGCCACGUUGUCCAGCAGGAUGGGGCCCGAGCCGUAACCAAAGUAGGCCAUGACCUUAGCGGAGACAGCCGGGCCACAGCCCAGCUGCCUGCAAACCACCUCGGCGUUGGUUAUGUCCCAGUCAUCGUCACACACCGUCCCCCAGACUGUUUUGUAGAGGACCUCAACGCGACCCUGACAGGUGCUGUUGCCGUUCACCACGCGGAUGGGCGCUGCGUCUGCAUGGAAAUAAACAGACAAAUGGAUGAAUGAUCACACUGUUAGAGCACAAACGGGACAAAUAUUCCGUUUGAUUUUGUUACCUUUAACCACAGCAGUUGUGACAGUAGUUGUUGUACUGGGUGACUUGGUGACAAGAGCGCUGUCUGUGGCUGGAGCAAACAAAACACAAUGAUCAUGGAGAGUUUGGUACAGUACACGCAGAGGAGAGAUAUGGCUCCCCCUGUUGGUCAUUGGGCCAAAGUGCACACGCAACAAGGAUGUGACACGCUUAUGUAAUGGAGUAAGAAUCAGUGUGUGGUCGCUGGAUACCUGCUGUGUUUUGUGUUCCCCAGAUUGCUCUCUGGUUCUGUGUUGCUGAAGAAGGUGUAGUGGUUGAUCCUGGAGCAGGCAGAAGAAAAGACGUACCAUAUGUGAACGCUUCAUUAUCUUCAUUUACCUUCAUGCUUUUUCAAAGGCAUGACAGAUUACAGCUGAGUGUACCUACCUAAACUGGAGUUCUCUCUGGAUGGAGUAGUGAGACUCUCAAAGCCCUUUGCGCCGAUCACAGCUGGUUCUAACGGUACAAUAAAAAGGAAACUGACAUGAAAGGAAGAAAAUUCACCACGACUUCAGCUGACUUCAAUCCAACGGCCUGACCUCUGCAGGUGACAGCCACGUCCUCGUAAUGAUAGCAGUUGUGCACGUCCCACGGCAGACUCCUGCACUGGCUCAGGUCUGUUUCGUUCCCCCUGCAGUCCACGUUGUCCAGAUGGAUGGGCCCCGUUCCCUGGCCAAACUGGGAGCUGGUGCCCACCGCCACCGCCACGCCGCAUCCCAGCUGCCUGCACACCACGUUGGCGUCCACCAUGUCCCACUCGUCAUCGCACACCGUCCCCCACGAGUCGUUGUAGCGCACCUCCACUCUUCCCUCACACCGGUCGCGUCCAUUCACCAGUUGCACUUAUAACAGACAGGCAGAGUUUCCUUUAGGGCUGAUUCAUCCAGCCGUAUUUGAACACAUUGUUGCUCAGGGUUUGGCCUGCUCUAUUGUAGCUCAAAACGACCUUAUACAUUUGACUGGCAUGCCUCUAAUGGUCAAUCAGAGUCAUUGCUGUCAACAGUGUAAUCCUACCACAAAGAACCACCUGACUCUCUGACUCUCUGGAAGUGAGUGUGGUGGAUGUUGAAUAAAUGAGGAUUAGAGCAUUA